CUUGGUCCCAAACCCGACAAUUUUGGUUGUUUACACACCCAUUGAGCCAGGAAUGGGUGUAAUGGGAAUUUUAGAUUUUGCUAAAUGGAAGGCGUGGUUGUAAACGGAUUACUCUCAUUUUCGGACUGUCGCUUAGCAACAUUAGAAGAGUGUUAUGUACCGAAUUUUAUUACAACAGUAAAGCAGUUACAGUUUGCAGAGACAGACGGACAGACACAUAAUCAAAGUAAUUUCAAUUCGUCCUUCGUCAUUUAUGUAUGUAUAUAUAACUCUAUAUCCAUCUCGAUUAGUUUUAGGUGUUACAAACAACCGGUGAUCAACAAUAUCCACGAUUAUAAAAAGAUUGUAACAUUAAAAGGCGAACUACUGAAAGUAUCAAUAAUUGACUAAUAUGCUUCUGAACAUAAACGUAGUCAAAAAGAAAUUGGCGACAUUGCUGGUGUGGCUGAUGUGACCAUAAGGCAAUCGUACAAAUUGAUGUAUCCACAUGCACUGAAGCUAUUUCCUGAGGAUUUCAAGUUCACUACGCCUAUUGAUCAACUACCACAGAUGUAGCUUUGUAGCUUAAACUAAUUAUUCGCUAUCACCAUUACUAUAAAUAAACAUAAAAUCUAUAAUUUGUAAUUUAAAAAUGA
Bactrocera tryoni is the source of this 635-nucleotide long non-coding RNA. RefSeq lists it as uncharacterized. The transcript is spliced from 2 exons. Lineage: Eukaryota; Metazoa; Arthropoda; Insecta; Diptera; Tephritidae. The record is from RefSeq and is a predicted model, not a curated record.